RNAcentral lists this ribosomal RNA (500 nucleotides) under uncultured bacterium. RNAcentral's name for it is "partial 16S ribosomal RNA". It matches the Rfam family "Bacterial small subunit ribosomal RNA", at positions 28 to 507 of the family's 1533-position model. The record is from RNAcentral.
GACGAACGCUGGCGGCGUGCUUAACACUUGCAAGUCGAACGGGUCUGCCCUGUUUUUUGCGGGGUGGGUCAGUGGCGAACGGGUGAGUAACACGUGAGUAACCUGCCCCUCACUUCUGGAUAACCGCUUGAAAGGGUGGCUAAUACGGGGUGUUCUGGCUGUGCCGCAUGGUGUGGCUGGGAAAGAUUCACUUUUGUGGUGUUUUGGUGGGGGAUGGGCUCGCGGCCUAUCAGCUUGUUGGUGGGGUGAUGGCCUGCCAAGGCUUUGACGGGUAGCCGGCCUGAGAGGGUGGGCGGUCACACUGGGACUGAGAUACGGCCCAGACUCCUGCGGGAGGCAGCAGUGGGGGGUAUUGCACAAUGGGCGGAAGCCUGAUGCAGCGACGUCGCGUGAGGGAUGGAGGCCUUCGGGUUGUGAACCUCUUUCGCCGGUGAAGAAGGUCCUGCUCUUUGUGGUGGGGUUGACGGUAGCCGGGUUAUGAAGCGCCGGCUAACUACGUG